This is a long non-coding RNA of Columba livia (rock pigeon), 15882 nucleotides long. RefSeq lists it as uncharacterized. The transcript is spliced from 3 exons. Lineage: Eukaryota; Metazoa; Chordata; Aves; Columbiformes; Columbidae. The record is from RefSeq and is a predicted model, not a curated record.
CCUCCCGCCGCGCCGCGCUGCGCUCGCCCGCCGGCAUGGCCGCGCCGGGGCCCGGGAACCGCCGGGGAGGCGGCACCGGAGCGCCCGACCCGGAAGAACCGCGCGGGGAGCCUGGGCGGAGCGGGCGCCCGGUCUGCAGGAAUGCUCCUGAGGACCAGGGACCUGUUGUCAUCCCCCUGAGGAGCGGGGUCCGAAGCCCCAGAACAUCCCAGGUCCCUGCAGCGAUAGGUGGUUUACCCUGGAGAGAAUUGGGCUGUGUCUGCAGUGCUGGAGCCAGAGAGAAUUCCCAAGGCGUGGCAGAGCCAGGGGAUCAACAUCCCGUGCCUGAAUCCACAGCCAUCUCCUCUGUGUUAUGGAAUUGGAGAACACCCAACAGAUGUGAAUGACGAACUCGGCACAGGCAGUGGAACUGGCCAGAAAAUGGAGAAGUGGGGGUUGAGGCUGCAGCCUCUGCAGGCAGGACCUGCAGGAGCACAAACUGAUGCCGCUGCUGGAGGACCGGUCGGUACGAUGCGGGCAGGUCCAGCCUGUUAGCACAUUGCUGAUCCCUGCCACAAUAACAGGAAAGCUGAUGUGAGACUUGAUUAAUGAAUAAUUAAUUAGAAUGUAUUUUAAUUAGUGUCAAUCAACUUGCAGGUUAGGAAAAAAGAACCCGUAGAUAGGGCUGAUGUUUUUUUCUAAUGAGAUGACAAACGCGGUGGAUGAGGAGAGUGCUGAUACACCAGCCAUAUGACUUUUGCUUUGGCACUGGUGUGACAUCUGGGGAUGCACUGGGUUGCUGCUGGACUGCGAUGCGUGCCAGAGCAUCGGGCAGCAGCUGUGGUGGCAGGUGACAUGGCUGUCACCUCUGCGGGGGCUUGGUUGGUACUGCUUUCCCAGGGAUGGGAUUUGGGAUGGUGUGGGCAGCCCGGCUCGGGUCCGGCUGCUGUGGAACCCUCUGCUGAGCUACGAUGGGUGAAUGUGGGGACAGGGGCUACGAGGGAGAGGGACCACGUCAUGCAAGGAUGUGUAGUGGUGGAAUGAGGGCCAGGAGAAGAAGCUGGGUGUCAAAAGGAUCAAAGGCGUCAGUCUGCUGAAUUCAAGAACAAGAUGACAAAGGAUUUGAUCUCAGCCUGUCAGUGUGAACAGAGGGAGUAGAUGUUUGACAAGAUAAAGCUUUUCCAUUUAGUGGACAGGGAUAUAAGGAGAUCCAAAGCUGGAAGCUGAGGUAAACACAAGUUUUAUGCAUGGUAGGGGUGAUUUGGUGACUGGAGCAUCCUACCAGAGCUGAUGGCUAACUCCUCAUUACCAAACGUCUUAAUGGAGAUUGGUUCAUGGUUUUUCUGCAAGGUUGCUCUCCAUGGAAAGUAAUUAGUCCUGCAAAGUUUUAUGUCCAAGCCACAAGAGAUGCUCACUCACAGCAGGCUUUCCCGGCUAUUAAUGUGUGUGGAAGCAGGAGCAGAGCCUGGCCCGCGGCGAAGUGCAGUGCUGCCAGCACAUGGGCGAUCAGCGCCCGCGUCUGGAUCUGCAGCUGAUCAGCCCCUCAGCUAAAGGGGUUCUGAUUUCAAUAAGUCUUGUGGACCCAAAUAAAGAUCAGUAAUCAUUAGAAUUAACCACAUGCUGAUUUAACCAGCAUAUAGCUUUGUUAAUUACUAGCUCUUUCUUCGUGUCCAUCUGUUUUAAAGAUUCUAGCAAACCUGCAGCAGAUGUUCAUGUAAAUAUAAUAAGCCGGUUGCCAUGUAAAUAUGAAAUUUUCAGGAGUGUUUGUGUAACAGACAUCCCAUUUAUUUGUGCUGUUGUCAGUAUCAUGUCUUUAGUGGCUUGAACACAAAGCUGAUAACUUUGUUACAAUCCCUGCUGGAGCCAGUCUCUGCUGUCCCUCUCUCUGUCCCCCCGUGUCCCACUCAGGUGAGCUGUGCUCAGUGGCCUUGGGGAUGUGUCACAGCAUUCGUGGUGCUGUCUUGGAACUGCCACUUGGAAAUGGAGCAGGACCAGUCAAUUUGUGCUCCCUUCAGGGAUAUGGAAAAUAGUGCCCAUGCUCAUGAUGAAUAUGGUUCAUUCAUCAUGAGUGGUGUAAGCAGGAAGCACUUUGUGCAGCCGAACGUUGCGGACUUUUUGCCUUGAGGAUAUUGAUUUAUUUAAUGUUGUCAUAUAAGUAUAAUCAUCGUCCUCUCUGUGUGAAAACUGAUUUGGAAGUGGUUAAUAUAGUGUAAUGGUUGAAAUAUAGUGGUUAAUACAGUGCAGGGUUCAAAAUUACUUCAGUAGGAAUAAGGCGCAAGGAAAGUGUGGAAAACCUGGCUCUGUAUAUGCUUGUGUUUGAUCUUCAUUGAAUUCAAACUGUCUUACUGAUGGAACAGGCAAAGUGUCCCAUGUGACAAUAACCUGGUAGCUCCUGUUGUGUGGGGGACAGGGCUGGCAGAAGGAUGUGGAGCAGAGCAGCUCCCGUUCCAUCGCAGGGAAAUGGGCGAUUCCCCAGGGGCAGCAAACUGGGAGCACUGGGGGCACUGGUGGCAGUGAGUCGUUCGUGCCACUGGUGCCGUGGUGAGGAGGAGCCAGGCCGGGUUUGGUGAGGGGGUGGCAUGGAUGCGGUGCGGUCAUUGUGCGUACCGCACAAUGCUGCAAAUUGACCUCACAAAAAACACCACCCAAACUCUCUGAGCACUCACAGGAAUUAAUACAAUAGCAUCAGAUUGUGAAUUCAGGGAGGAAUCUCUUUCUUUGUUAAGCUUGUGCAAAGAAGGUCCUGGCCAAUAGAGGGGAUUCCUAGAGGCGGCUGCAGUGCAGUUAAGCGAUAAUAAUCCCAAAGGCAAUCAAACAACAAAGGAAGAACCUCACUGUUCAUCUGCAGAAGGUGAAAAAACACCGAUUCUCCAAUUCACUUGGCAAUGUCACAGCCAUGUCACGGUAUGCCUCCUUUCAGCUGUGUAACCUCCACACCAAGCUGAAGAGCUGUGUGUGACCCGCUGAGCCUGGAGCUGUGGCUGAGGACAGCUACAGCCCGUGACAGAGGACAUUGCUCAGCGUCCCUCCAGCUCUGGUGUCCUUGGGGAUGAGGAACUGGGGGAUCGUCCCUGGCCAGGAAGAGGUGCUGGCUCUGGGGGUGACAGCCAGAGGGGUCCCCAGGAGGCAUGAGCACCGUCAGCCCCGCUGGGAUGGGCUUUUGGCUGGUUUGCAAAGCCUUCUUUAAGAUGGAUUUUAAAGGUAAUUAGAGAUGACCUUGUGGCAUAAUAGGAAAGCUGACAAAGUGCUGAAUUGUUUUUAAUAUGGGUUGUCUAGAUUUUCCUUCUGCCUUCAGAAAAUAAUUAAUCUAAUAAAUAGGAGAACUUCAGGUUCAGAUGAGGUGUUUCUCUCGUUUGUCCCGUGUUCAGCAGGCACACUGUACCACACACCAGCAGCUGCAGGGCGAGCAGGGGCUGUCCCAGCAAAGCUCCAGGAUCUGACUGUGAUUUGGUGCUGCCACCCCGAUAAAACAUUUGCAGCCUGGCACUUGUCUCUCUCUCUCUCGCAUUAUUUUAUCUGUGUGAAGAAUUAUCCAGCAGCUGAUUCUGCAGCUUGUUGGAGUUGACAUGAAAAAUGAAACGUAUAUUGUGGUGUUGGUCAAGGGAGUAGAGGAAAAGAUGGAUCUUAACUCAAAGUUUCCUGCCAAGAGCUGAGUCUGGAGUUAUCUUUCAUUUACAUCUGCACUUCAAAAAAGCUCUGCUUUCUGAUUUCUUCUCUUCUUUUUUAGCUUUUGAGGAUUUUGGUUUCAUUUAGCUCCACAUUGGCAACAACUUCAGGAGCCCAAAGAGGAGGGCGAGAGCGAGUGAAGGCAGAUCGUUAACCAGCGCUCGUCAGCCGCCUUCUGACCUGCGCAGUCCUUGCUCACCAGACAGGUCACUGCUGCAUGAAAUUCCCCCGCAUGGGAAAGAUUUACAGGUUUUCAGGAAAGGAAGCACAAAGAAACGGAUGACCCAGAGGUAUCAGCCCCUUCGCACCCUCCCCAAAACAGCCCGGGGAGAUGGAGGGGAACAGCCUGGGGGGCUGGGCAGGAAUCCGGCAUCUCAGCAAUGGCACAUCCACAUCAGCAAGGAAAAGAGACUGAAAGAUGAUAGAAAAGAGUGUAAGUGGAAGCUCAUACAAACCAAAGCAUUAAAUUGUUUUUAUAAAGGAGUAUUUUUACAAUUUCUAAUAAUAUUUGUAUAUAAUUGCUAAUUUUACUAUUCUUUUAAUACCAAAAAUAUGCCCCUCUUGACUGAACAGUAGAGAAGCUUCUAUUUGCCACUGCAAUUGAGUCUUAGUACAUCAAAUCCUUAGAUUUCAGAUGACAGUGGAAAUUAAUAGCAAGAAUAAAAUCUUAUAAUUGAAACUAAAUCUCACAGAUGGAACACUAGCUUGAACUUCAGUCUGAGUGUCUAAGGAAUCUCUGUGCAUUUUUUAAUUCUUUGACUCUUCUCCAUAAAUGUUUUGACGUGCUUAGAAAUUCAUCUUCAUUAUUAAGGCUGCUAGAUCAUCAUGUACUGAUGAGCCCAAAGUCAGAAUUUUUACUUAUCAUUUGCUUGGAAAUAAAUUUCCAACUGGAAAUCGACAUUAUGGGCUUAUUUCUGCUAUUAGUCAUGGGAGGCAAGACUUUGUUUUAGGCUGUGGUGCAGCACGCGUCUGUGCCCGAGGCUGCAUGGUGCUGCCAGGGCUGGGAGCAUCCCGCAUCCUGCAUCCCACGGGUACUGCCCCAGCUCCUUCCAGGGUCAGCGCCUUUCCUUUUUGCUAUCCAUAAGAGCAAGCUCUUUGGUAAGAAUACAGCACUCCUAUAAUGUGUAUUCUCUGAGUAUUACUCCUGCUUAGAAGCCUUGUUAAGUGUUCUUUUUAAAAGAACAUAUUUAUAGUUUUAACCACAUUGAUAUUUUAGUUAAUGGAUUCAAGACCUUCCCUUUUGCAGGUGUUUCUCUCCAGCCCUGUCCUUUUAGAUGUUAUGCUUCUCUAGUGAACAUCAUUAAAAGAUGGCCUUAAAAGCCUGGAAAAUUGGAGGCUAUUAACGGUAGGAGGAACACCUCUGGUUUGGUGCCUUUGCCCCCAUGUGUUAUGUGGCUGGAGAAGGGAGCUGUUCACCAUGCAAGGCUGUCUGUGGUGCUGGUGCCUGUGAAUUGUCACUGCAGGCACAGAUUCCAGCCCAGGGCAGUGCCAGCCCAGCCAGGCCAGGCUUUGGCUCGUCAGGGCUUGGCCCAAGCCCUGCUUUGGUGCUCCCCACAAACAAUCUUCCGUGAUUUACAGGGAUGGCACUAAGCCUCUUGCCUUUAGAGAGGAAUUAAAGCAAUUGUGGGACAUAAUGGAGGAAAAAUCAUUUAGUAUUUCCUUCUUUAUAAUUCAUAUUUCUAUAAUAUGGUUUAAUUUCCUCUAAGCUCUUUAAGUGCCUGCGAGGCUGCAGAGUUCAGGUCCCUUCUGCACUGGCUUAUUAUUGAGGCGUGAAACACGUGGUGCUCCCAUGACUGAUGGUAUGAACCCCUGUGGUUCCUGCUAAGCAGCCAUGCUGGUGGUGGGGCUGCACUGUUCACUGUCAGGAGGAUUGUGUUUGAAACCAGCUGCAUGAUCAUGAGAAAGGACAGGGUAGACUUUUAUUUACUCAUUUCCCUUUUGCAUGUGAGUAUAGGGUGUUACAACAGCAUAUAUAGAGAAAAAAACUCAUAACUUGUAUUAUAUGUUCAUUAAUGUACAAUAAGUGUUUGUUUACCUUUGUGUCACGUAUGCAUUUGUCAGUCUCAGCUUGCAAAAAGCAAGUGAGGAAACCAUGGCUUGCAGGAUUGGAUGGUUUUAUGGAGUCUUGCUGUGAGCAGUCCCAGCACAUGUUCUGCUCUAUCACAGUGGUUCUGCAGCUCCCCAGCCUGUUGGGCUGCAUUGUUCUCAGGUGGGGCGCACACGACUGCUGUGAUGCUGCAUUUCAUACCCCAAACCCCAUCCAAAACCCUGGCAGUGUGCCCAUGAUUGGCAUCACUUGCCCUAAGCAUCAGUUCACAGCAUUUGCUGCCUCACUUGAUGCCAAGGACUGUCACAGACCUGUGCUAAUUUGUCUGAAGCUGGUGAAAUGUGUGAGAUUUACACAGUGCAGUUCAGGUCACAGUCUCUUCUGGUCGAUUUCUGGAAGGUUUUUGUGUUUUAGCGCAGUGGGCUGCAGUGCAGAACUGUGGGCUGGUGCUGGUGACCAGCAGAUCUGCUGGGUGGACCUGCCGUGGGGGGCUCCUCAGGAUUGGCACCAAUGCCUGUGUAAUGUUCUCCGGGAGGCUGGGUGAGUGACCGCAGUGCUUCUUAUUGCCAGGUUUGGGUUUAAUAACACCUUAAACUUUGUCCAGUCUGAACACUGAUUUUAACACUAUAUAAUACUUUUAAAUUUGAAUGGUAGGAAAAAGGUUAAAUGUCUCUCUAUUGACAGAUGUGUAGAUUUUGUGGCAACAGUGUCCACUAUGGUCACCUAGUUUAACCUCUUGCAAAACAGAAACUUUAAAAUUAAACCUGCAAAUCCUUCCUGAAGCCCUUUUCCUUGUCUAGGAAACAAACAGACAAACAAACAAUCAAACAACCCCAAACAACUCCAUUUUGAUUUAUUCAGAAUUGUCUCAUUUCUUCACAAUGUGAAGAUUGUGUUGUGUGCUAAGUUGGGCUCCUCUACUAUCAGUUUAAGUCACCUUCUGAACAUGUCAGAAUAAAAUGAAUUGUUGAUCUUCUCAAAUCUUCUCCUGCAAGGAGGCUUCCAGAUGCAAAUUAUCCCUGUAGCUCUUCCCUGUGCCGUUUCCAACGUUUCAGCACAGUUUUGAUGGACUGAUGACAGCACAGGGUUCAGCAUUUCAUGGCAGAUCUCACACUGCAGGUGGAGGAAGUUUUGCAACCUGUGUUUUUUCUGCUUUAAAAGAAGAAAAAGUUAGAAACAAAUUAAUAUGUGCUUUGUCAAAUUGUCUGUCAAGUGUACUGUUCACAAAUCAAGUCAAUCAGAACUUUCCUUCAGAUGAUUCUUUUUUCAGACAUGUUGUCUUUAGACAUUUCCCACGUUUAUAAUACAGAACGCGUAUCCCCUAUUAUUUUUACUUUGGUGGCAAAAGUGAAUACUUUGUUCCAAGUAAACAUUAAACAUUUUUAAAGUUAUUUUUCAAUUCAACCACCUAAUUUGAUCUUCUAAAAAUCAGGUUUUAAGAACUUCAUGCUUUAUCUCCCUUUCCCUUGAUUUGGGAGAUGAUGACAAGCCUUUAUGUCUAAACAGAAUCACAGAAUGUCAGGGAUUGGAAGGGACCUCGAAAGCUCAUCCAGUCCAAUCCCCCUGCCAGAGCAGGAACACCCAGAUGACUUUACACAGGAAGGUGUCCAGGCAGGUUUGAAUGUCUCCAGAGUAGGAGACUCCACAACCCCCCUGGGCAGCCUGGUCCAGUGUCUGUCACCCUCACUGAGAAGAAGUUUCUUCUCAAAUUUAAGUGGAACCACUUGUGUUCCAGUUUGAACCCAUUACCCCUUGUCAUAUCAUUUGUUGUCACCAAGAAGAGUAUAUAUGUUUAUAUAAAAUGGAUAUCAGGCAGAGAUAAACCAAAAAAAAAUAUUUACCAUAAUAUUUCAGGUUAGGUUUUUGAAGUCUGUCAAACCAAUGAAUGAUGAAAAAUUGAAUGAAGGACUUUCAGACGGCACUUGAGUAGCUUUUUGCUAUUUGUAUUUAUUAACGCUGCAAAUCAGUACAAAUUUUCUGAAGAACCAAGUUUAAUGGUUUGAUUUCUUCAUUCGAAUAAUUACUGCCAAUAAAUAUCUCAAUAAGCGGCUGUUUAGAAUGUAAUUUCCAUAAAAAUGAAGGGCCUGAUCCUCUGCAGUCCCUGAUGUGUGGCUGGGUUUCUGAGCUCCCAGGGCUCCUGGGGACACUGGUGUCACUUCACCUCCCAGCAGCGUCAGAGCUCAGCACCACAGAGCGUGCACUCCACACUGUGACUCUGCUGCUGGAAAGGUCCAGAAAAGAGUAUUUUUGGCAAGGCAGCCACUGCUGGAGCCACUGCCACGGUGAGGGGAGCCGACUUGUCCGGACCCCUUCAUGCAAACCUGACUGAGAGGGUUAGGAACCCCCACACAGCGGUCAGAGGAAGAAAAUAAACCAAAAAUAAACAAACUUCGUAUUUGGGGCCAAGUCUCUGCCAUGGAAACACAAAAGUCAUUUUGGUGACCUUUGAUUUUUCUGACAUCUCAGCUAAAAUAACUUGGGUAUUUUUGCUUCUUGAAAUGCUUGCACUACAAAUAGCAUGCACCAGAUUCUCCUUUGUUAGUUUAAAAAAUAAAUAAGGACACAACAUUUUCUUUCUUUCUGACUAAUUGCAUGCUAAAUUGCUUUACAAUUGCACCAGAGUAAGCCCAUUACAUUUUUUUUUUUUUUUUUUUCUGAGUGAAAGAUCUUUAUCUCUAGAUGCUCCCCAGGAAGGAAUUUUCAUAACAAGAGUCUAUUAAGAGAUGCUUACAGACUUCCAGGCCAUCUGAGAGGUUAUAGAAAAAAAAAAAAAAAGGCAGAAAGUGGUGUGACAUCUACACAUUGCAGCUAAAGUGUCCGUUGCUAUAGCAAACGAAGGAGAAUAACUAACCUCUAACACAGCCUGCUCAGAAAAUCUGGGUGGCUUGUUAAGCUCUUUUGUUCCAAGGCAUUCCCUUUCUCCAUUUCUGCUGCAGUUUGCUAAACUGCUCCCAAAUCAUUGGGAUUUAUCGUUUAGAAAUGGCGAUACACAUUAGGUAUGAUCUAGAAAACCUUAAAUCAAUGAUGAGUGAAUCUUCUGUGUCAUCCUCACUGGCACAUUAGUACAUUAAUGCAAUAAUUGUGAAGCAAUUUCAUUGUUUAAUUGUAUUUUUUAGAUCAAAGAUGGAUUGAAGCUAGUGGAGAGGACACAUGGGUUAUCCAUGCUGGGAGCUGUGAUAUUUCUGGUUUAGGGUAAUGUCUCCUGAGGUUUCUGCUUUCUCCAAACCCUUGCUGGUUUAAUACCCCCUCUCUGUCCCUUCCCUCUGUGCUGUCCCCACCUUCCCCAAGUGCAGCUUUUGCUGUUGAUCUUUCUUGCAGUUUUCAGCCCAAACUGCUUAAAUCCCCAAAGCACCACAGAGCCCCAAACCAGAGCUCAGCCUUCCCACGGGCUUGUGCUGGUACAGAGGAAACAGCCCUGGGUUUCAAAUACAAAUAUAAAUACAAACAAGUAAGUAGUUUUCUAAAGUAAUUGCUAUUUACAUGAGCUAGUGCAGGAAAUAAAUCUGGUCAAAACACUAAAGAACACAUUGUGUUAUUUGCUCUGGAAGGCAGCAGCUUGUGUGAACUGAGGAUCAGCCUGGGUUAAUGGUCACUGGCUGGAUUAGAAAAGCAAAAGCUAGUAGGCACAGAUAAACCUGGAGCUUGUUGUCUGAAAGAUACAGAGAAUUCCCAAUGCGAAACACAGAAAAUUGCUGUAACCCAAACUGCUGUAAUUUUGUAGAAAGGAAUAUGCUAGUGAAUGCAUAUAGAAAUGUCUAUUCAGAUUCAAUUGAGAUAAAAAGCUAUAGAACUGAUGUUAGAAAGAAAUGCUCUUCCAUGGCUGGCGUGAGGAACAGGGCUGUUGUGGACUGGGGGGAGCAGCUGCUGCCAUUUCCCUACAAGGGAAACUGCCCCCAUCACCACCAGCGCUUUGAAACUGCAGAGUUUAGGGGCUAAUUUCCUUUAAUGACUUGUGUUUUAUCUCUUGGAAUGCAAAGACUUGCCUUGUUCUAAAACUGCAUUGAACAGAGCGGCAAAGAAGUGCAGUUGCGCCUCUUGGAAGGCUCCAUCCCACCACCCUCAGCUGUUUUCAGGUCUAAAAUAAGCGUAGCUUGGACCAAAAGGGGACAAAUACAUUCCCUGAACCCCCAUGUGUGUGCUGGGGAGGCUUCCCACUGGGGAAGCACCUCCUGUCCCUGCGGCUGGGCUCACACGGCUGCUUCGGCAAACAGCUGUGGAUCCGCUGAGCUCAGGCUGAGUGUAUUAAAUCUUGACAUUUUAAGAGAGUAAAAUAAAUAAAAAAUUACUCACUGUUUUGCUAUAGCCCAAGGAGAACCUGCACUGCUCCUAAAGCCUAAGAGUAGCAGUUGCCGCGUACAGGGAAAGCUCUCACAAGUUAGUCAAUUGGGAAAUAAAAAGCUAAAAGUCAAGCUAACCAGCAAAAUAUUGAAUUUGUUUGGAAACGAACACACUGUAGCAGUCUGUUUCUCCAAGAAAAAGCUGAUUGUAACUGACAUCAUGGGCUUUACAGCCACGAAAGCUCCGGGACCUGUUUGGCACGAUGCACCUCAUGGUUUUCUUGUCUCGUCUCGCCUUGUCGUCCUUUACUACAAUAUUUCCUUUUCAGCUGUUCUGAAAGAGCGACUCUUACCUGAGUGUGUUUUGGUCCAUUAGAGAAAUAAAGAACUGUAUGAAAGAAGGAUUACAUGCUGUGGAAUCCCAGCAGAAUUAAUGUUAAAGUCUGGGUUUAUAUUAGAUUUUUCUUUCAUCCUUCUUUAGAUUGUGACUGAUGCAUGUAACAAAGAAAAUGGAGAAAUGUACUGCAGCUCUCUGUGUGCAUAUAUUUUAAUAAGGUUUGGAGUGCCAUUAAACACCACCCCCCCUCAAUCUUGAGCUUCAGUGGAGACUAUGAUCAGCUGCUUUUGAAAUUAUAAAUAUAAAAAGUACAGCUGGAGAACAAGCAUUUGAAAUCUGAAAAUUUUGUGCCUGUAGGACUAAUUAUGCUUUUGCAAACUUUAUCAAAACAUUGCUGUUUGUUUAAAGUUAGCAGCACAAAAACGCCAUCGUAAUGAAUGGUAACUAUUAUGACUCAUGCAUCCAAACAUCUAUUUUCUGGAGAAAGUAACAAUUAAGGGCUUGUAAUGGAUUUUGAUUGUUUUAAUCUCUCUGCCGGGACAAUGCAGAACUAGGGACACUGUAAAUAUUGAGGAUGCUGAAACUGUUCCCCCAUUGCACAGGACACUGCUCAGUUUGCUAUGAGAUGCACACUGAGAGUUAUCUCGUCACACAGAGUUACACUGGCUCUGGAAAUGGGACACUGAUGAUGUCAAAGUGAUGGAAAUAAAAAACAUAUAUCUCAAAAAUUCCGUCUUUUUACGCCAUUGUAGGGGAAAAAAACCCAAACAAACUAAAUCCACACGACACACAUAAGGUAUUUCUCAGGCGUGGUGGAGAAAUGCUGGUACAUCUCCCAGCAGAUACACACAAGAUGGCAAAAUAUUUGAAUUAUUCAAAAUUCUGAGUCGAGGCGUAACAACAUGAGAAGAGUCUGAUGUUCGGCAGAGUCUCAUCAGGACCCUCAAUGAGCAGCUGCAGGGCUGAUCAGCCACAUCUCCCACCUGGCUGGGUCCCGUCCAAGGCUGCAGUUGCAACUGGUGCCCAGAAAACCGAGAAAGAGCAAACAGGUUUGAUUUGUGCACUCAGGAGUGUCUCACAUUGGGAUCUGACACUACUCAGGUGGAGGUCACAAGUGCGCCCAACUGAAGUGGGAAAACUGUGCUGGCUUUAAAAACUAUUAAAUUAGACACAGAAAAUCCUUGAGAGAGAAUGUUAAUAUCUUUAUCAUUUUCUCACUCAAUAUUUUGUCAUCUUUUAAGAAGACAUGGUUACAAAUUAAAAGGAUCCCACUCAUAAAGGCUGGUGCAUCCUGUGCUGUGGAAGAUUUUGAUGUAGAAACAGCUUUUAACGUGAAUGUUCUGGUGUCAGAUGACUUUGGUUGGUGUUACGUGCAAGAAUAAGAACAAGCUCUGUGUCAGAGGGGGCCAGGGAUGGCUGGAGGAAAUGCAGCCCCAGCAGCGGGCUCAUCAUGCCAUGGUCUUCCAAUUAAUUAAUUAAUCCCCAUGGUACUGCUCAGUACAGGCAUCUGCUCCUGUCAGAGAGUUGGGACAGGACAGGCAGAUCAGAAAAGGCACAUAUAUUAUUGAUUGCAGUUUCAGGGAAUGAUGAGCAGUGUGCUCUUGGGGAGGGUUCACAGCACCAGAUUUGCGGUGGGAAGGGCCAGGGACCAGUCAUGUUGAAGUUUUGACUACUGAAUGCCUUUCACUUAGGCAGAGAGAAGAGUGAGCUGUUUGUCAGCAUUUUCUGCAGCUCCUGCGACUGCCAAAGAGUCUGGCCCUGCAAGUGCUGCUCUCACACUGUGCAGUUGCAGGAAUUUACAGGGGAAGGCAGAGACAUCUCUGAGUUAAAAGCAAAUUUCCUGUGCGGAGGAUGUGAUAAAGUUUAAGUAGCAAGCUGAUCCCCUCCACAGGAACUCAGAGACACAUCUUGAGAGCUGUAAGGCCUUGUAGGAUGCAGGGUUUGGCCCUACGCUUUCAAAUUGAUAUUCUGAUGCAGAAUCUAGGCCAGCUUCUCUUAAAGUUCCUUUUUUUCAUGCUGUCUCACUUGUUUUAUUAUUGAGCUCAACUCUGCAAUGCUUUGACUCCUCUUGAUGUGCAGCAGCUGGCUGUGGACUCUGCAAGCUCUGUUUGGCCAGAGCGAUCCGGAGACAUCGUUUGCUGCUGCAGGAGUCUCAGGUAUGGAGCAUCCCUAUGGGAACCUCAGUAUUUAUCCCUCAGGAUCCACAUCGCAGCCCAUGUGGAAAGCACACUGUGGAUGUGACCCUGGCAGCCAGAGGCGAUAAAUCAGGAGCGAGAUCAGGAACCCGGUGCUUGCAGGAGCUUGUGCUGCGGUGGUGGGUCUGUGAUGGAUAUCUGACCUUUCCGAUGUGGGGAAGGAGAGUAUAUUUCUCUGGUUACAGAUAGUAGGGUUCAUGAUUAAAUCUGUAUAAAAACAAUCUUUCUCAUGCAUUGCGCUUUGAGGGCUCAGCCUGAGGGUACUAUUGAACCUGUUCGUAAAACCACGACCCAGUUCCUGCACAGCGAUGGAUUUCGGUAGCAGCCCUGCGAGAGGCAGGGCUCCAUCCAAUGUCCAUCGCAGUUAAUGGAAAAGCGCCGAUUUAUUUCGGCAGGCUUUGGAUCAGGUCUUUAGAAAGCAAUUUGGGUAGUGAGGUGAGAAAUUUGGGAUGACCAGCAUAUCAAUAGCACGAACAUGGAGCUUCACUCUUUUCACUUCAGUUCACAGAAUAAAUUCCAAUCCAAAUGCUAAGCAGCCGAUCUUCCACACAUUGCCAAGACAGAUGCAGAUACUAAAAGGUACAUUUGUAAAUGGGUCUUUUUAAUGCAUAUCUCUAGUGUGUUAUUUUUGUACAUUUAUUCUUAAUUUGGUCACGGAUUCUGGUUUUAGUUACUGUCCUUAGGUGAUGCUCUGACUGUACCGACACCUGUUAGACCCAAAUUUUAAUGUGGUUUAGAUGAGAGGAGGGUGGGCACUCUCUGCUCCACUGACCUGCUCCCGUGCUUGCUGGGAGAAGCUGGAGGAGCAGCGCGGGUUUGUCCCAGUAGCUUGAUAAAAAGCUUGUGUUUCCAUAUGAUCCAACUGCCUUUUUUCCUUCCAGUAUUCAUUUCUCAGACUCAACAUUCAUGGAGAAAACACUGAGUAUCCGUGACCUCUACAGCAGCUGUGCCCCUUCCCGAUGGCAUCAGGAUGAGCCCCUUCUUCUGGCAGGACCUGAGCGCCUUUGCUGUGAGCCUGUCCACAGAAACAUCGAUGUUUGAGUGCGGGGCUUGUUGGAAGAGGGAGGAGGGACAUCUCUCACUGGGGACAUCCAUAGCUUCAUGUUUCACGUGUUGCUGGUGUGUUUUUCCUACAAAGUGCUGACUGGGCAAUACGGGAUUUUGGGCAAAAUCACCAAAAUUUGCCUUCAGCAUUGCCCUGAGAGAGCAAGGAGAGGGGGACACAGGACGCAGAAACACUGGGACAGCUCACACCAAACCGCUCUGUUCCUUUGCCCACGGAAGGCAGGGAUCAGCUCCAGGUGCCCAUCCAACAUUACUGUACAACUGCAUCGUUGUGUCCCAUUAUAAAUUGUUUUUAAUUUUUUUUUCAGAGUUUGUCACAAAUAUAGUCUUGCAGAGAAGUUCUGCUGUUGUCAUUGCCUUUAACUUAGUAAAAGGGGCACGGGACAACAUCCCUGAUCAUAUGCAAUCGCUGCUGAAUAAGUGCUCGGUGAGGCCAAGGAAAUAAUGAGAAGAAUAUAAAUAUCAAUUCUAGAAAGAGAUGUUACUGGACUCCUGUGGCAAUUUCCUAUGGUAAUAAGCAUCCAGGAGCAUAUUAAAAAUGUCAUUUGUGUUUUAAAAGUAAUAAUAAUUGAAAUAGAUUCUGACAUCUUUUAUAACAACAGAGCCAACAAUUAUUACUGGGGGUACUUUAAAAGAAAACAAACACAUUAAAUAAUUACUUAAUUGAAUCGCCAAUAUGCUAAUGCUGCUGAAAUUAAUGUGAAAAACAUGAGAUUAGCAGCAUGGUUUUGCACAAUGAGAGUUGGCUGGAGACGAAAUUAAGAGGUGGACUGGGAUGUGCUCAGCUGGGAUGCAGACAGGGUCAGCACCGAGCCUGCCUGUGGUUUGGGGUCCUGGGGACCCUGGGGCUCGUGGACAUCCCUGCAGCCCGGGACAUGGCAUGUCCUCCCCAAAACCAUCCUGGAGAGAGGCUGGGACAGUCUCUCUGCUGAUCAGGGCUGCGGGGGGUCUCUGCACGGGCCACCCACCCGGUCAGAGAACUGAGACACCCGCUCCUGUGAGCAAUGCCCGUUUUUGUUGAGAAUUGUGACAACUCCACAAGAGAGCUAAUCUUUAGUUUUCUUAUCAUUCCUGUUUUUACAACUAUAGAGGUACAAAUUCAAUGUGUGUUUUGAAAAAUGCUUUCCUUGGAUGGGAACAGGACGAAGCGGAGUCAGCAGGCUGCAUCCAGCCCAGAGACUCUGAUCCGAGCCAGGAGAGAUUAUUUCACCUGCUUGGAGACAUGGUUUGUAAUGGGACUGGGACGUUCAAUGGGACCAAUAACUCAGAAAUGUCUGUUUUUUCCUGCAGACAUGACUGGGGACCAGUGUGCAGUGCUGGUGAGCCCGGCACCAACCCAGCCGCAUGCCGGGAGGUUCACACCGCUCCAGACCUCUGAGAUGCACUGUCACUGAGACAGUGGUGACCAAAAGGACAACAGUUCUGCAGCCCUCCCUUUUCUCCUAAAUCACAUUUUUUAAAGUGUUGAGUGUUAUAAACAUUACCCAUGUGAAGGGAAGAAUAUAUUUAAAUAUAUCUAGCACUCUCCUGAAUGCUCUGUCAUGUCUGGCACAGAAAUGCACACUUUAUAAAAUGUGUUGCCGUUUUGCUGAAUCUCUUUCAUUUACCCGUGAGAGCUGUGCUCUGUGAGCAUCCCCGGUGGAAAGCCCCCGCUCCCCCUGUGCUCUGUGAGCAUCCCGGGUGGAAAGCCCCUGCUUCACCUGUGCACUGAGCACCCCCAGCCAAAAGCCCCUGCUCCACCUGUGCACUCUGAGCAUCCCCAGCUGAAAGCCCCUGCUCCCCCUGCUCAUCCCUCUGUCCUGCAGGCUCUGGGUGUCCCACGCGCUCCUUGUCUGGGCACCCCUGCUCUGGGCACUGCUCUGCCUCCGUAAGGGAAGUGUCCUGAUCUUGUGAUGCCCCUGGGGAAGAGAGGCAGUUUCUGGCCACUACUGCAUGUCAGGUGAAUGGCUCAGGUGAGCACAGUCCCAGGGAACACGGGUUUUGGAUGUUGCCAUGCCGUAUCCUGCUUGCUUUUUGUCUGGGUGGAAUAAAAUACCAGCAUGCUUUGACCGCAACAGGAGAGAGCUUUGCCAUGUAGCAAUGUGCUCCUAAUUGUAUUUUUUGUUCAGCAUCAGCAUCAGCAAGUCUGUCUAGCAAGAGAGUUUUACCUUUACCCUUUUUUCCCCAAUAUGUUUUCACUCUAACCUGUUCUAGAGAAACACUAAACCAGCCAGACUUCAUCUAAAUGGCUUCAUUGUGACUUCAAUCUCCAGGCAUCUGGCCUCGCCUUGUACUACUGCUCGCUCUCUCUCCAAAUUAUAAAAUAUAUCAAAAACA